Long non-coding RNA from Megalobrama amblycephala (Wuchang bream), 1357 nucleotides. RefSeq lists it as uncharacterized. NCBI's taxonomy places the organism in Eukaryota, Metazoa, Chordata, Actinopteri, Cypriniformes, Xenocyprididae. The record is from RefSeq and is a predicted model, not a curated record. The transcript has 4 exons.
CGUCCGAAACCGCCUACUUCUCUACUAUUUAGUAGGGGAAAAGCAGUAGGCGAGCGAAUAAGUAUGUCUGAAGCAAAAAGAGUAGGCGAAAAUUACCUGCGUGACGUACUAAUUCUCGCGAGAUUCGGACGUGCGCCUACUUAAAGUGCGUCCGAAACCGCCUACUUACCUACUAUAUAAUAGGGGAAAGCAGUAGGCGAGCAAUUAAGUAUGUCAGAAACCUCAGUAAUCAUAAAAUAGUAGUCGAGGAGUUCCCGGAUGGCCUACUGCUUCCGCCCAGAUUCUGAAGUAUUCCUUGCUGGAUACUUUUCUAUUCCAGCAGGCCACGGGAGAGGAUACGUCAUAAUCGAACACGGAGGAGAAAAGCGGCGCGGAUGCUGUCAAAUGGACAGAUGAUCACACGUGUGUUUAUCCGGUAGAGGAAUGAUGCCAUCAAAGGCUUUGAAGCUUUGGUGGAGCAGGACCUGCAAGAAAAGCUGACGACAGGAUUUGUUAGAAAUAAAGAGGAAAGCCUGAAACAAAAUAAAAAUAUAUAUAUAAAGAUGUGAAUGUCCUCAGACUGGUGAGAGCACUGAGGAUGGAGAGCCACAGCAGAUCCUGGGAAUGGUUCAGUGUCAUGGACGAGAUCCUCCAUCACUCCUCCUUCCAAGUGACUCAAUCAAGGACACACUGGAGGAGACGCUGCAGAGAUCGAACCAGCAACCUUCUGCUGACCAGCUCAGUGGUUUAGACCACCACACCACAAAACUAAUGAAGCCAUGACAAGAAUUAGCAAUUGAAAAAUAUGAAAUGAAAUAUGCAAGAAACAGAAUGCUGACAUGAAUUAAUUGUAAAAUGUUUUAAUCUGCUGAUGGAGAGCACAUGAAUGUUUGCAGCAGCAGAUUGUCCCGCACAUCUUCUCCCACUCCUGCUCCAAGGUUGAGGGGUUCAGGGGUCCAUCAUCAUCAUCAUCAUCAUCAUCAUCAUCUUCAGCAGUGAGGAACAUGAUGAUGAAGGUGUUCAUCAGCUGCUUGAUCAGAAUAAAGCUGCAGAAUUGGCACAGCUGUGUUGAGAUGACAGCAGGACUGUAAAUACCUGAUUGUUAAAUUGUUACAUUUGAAUAAAGCUUUGUUUUGUGUGUUGUUGACUUGUAUAUGCAUUUAUUUGUCAUUAUUACUUUUAUUAAUUCUUUACUUAUUAAUUAUGCUAUUAUCAGUAAAUGUAUAUAUUUUAAUAAGCAAUGAAUUAAUGCAUGAAUUGACUGUAAAUGGAGAUGUAUUCACAUCAGCUGUAUUUGUCUAGUGUGUGUUCAUGCACAGCUGUCACAACUAAACAUUACAUUUUGCUUGUUUUAUUAAAGAAGUAAAAUGAAAAGUAA